UACGAAGGGUGCAAACGUUGCUCGGAAUUAUUGGGCGUAAAGCGCACGUAGGCGGCUUUGUGUGUCGGAUGUGAAAUCCCUCGGCUCAACCAAGGAAGUGCAUUCGAAACUGCAAAGCUUGAGUACUUAAGAGGAUCGCGGAAUUCCCGGUGUAGAGGUGAAAUUCGUAGAUAUCGGGGGGAACACCGGUGGCGAAGGCGGCGACCUGGGACGAUACUGACGCUGAGGUGCGAAAGCGUGGGGAGCAAACAGG
This 253-nucleotide ribosomal RNA is filed under the name uncultured bacterium. Its description in RNAcentral is "partial 16S ribosomal RNA". It matches the Rfam family "Bacterial small subunit ribosomal RNA", at positions 524 to 776 of the family's 1533-position model. The record is from RNAcentral.